GAUGAAGAACUUAGCGAAAUGCGAUAAGUAAUGUGAAUUGCAGAAUUCAGUGAAUCAUCGAAUCUUUGAACGCACAUUGCGCCCGGGAGCAUUCUCCCGGGCAUGCCUGUUCGAGCGUCAUUUCAACCCUCGAUUUCCCUUUGGGGAAGUCGGCCGUUGGAGAUCGGCAGCACUGCCGGCUCCCAAAUACAGUGGCGACCCGCCGCGGGGACCCCUGCGUAGUAACUUACACUCGCACCGGAAACCAGACGUGUCACGCCGUAAAACCCCCAACUUUCUGAACGUUGACCUCGGAUCAGGUAGGAAUACCCGCUGAACUUAAGCAUAUCAAUAAGCGGAGGA
RNAcentral lists this unclassified non-coding RNA (342 nucleotides) under soil metagenome. Its description in RNAcentral is "partial contains 5.8S ribosomal RNA, internal transcribed spacer 2, and large subunit ribosomal RNA". The stretch from base 1 to 120 matches the Rfam family "5.8S ribosomal RNA", at positions 35 to 154 of the family's 154-position model. The record is from RNAcentral.